ACCGGGAGGGUGCGGCGAAUACUGAGGGGCUAGAGUGCGGGAGAGGAAAGUGGAAUUCCUGGUGUAGCGGUGAAAUGCGUAGAUAUCAGGAGGAACACCGGUGGUGUAAACGGCUUUCUGGACCGUAACUGACGCUGAGACACGAAAGCGUGGGUAGCAAACAGGAUUAGAUACCCUGGUAGUCCACGCCCUAAACGAUGCAUAUUUGGUGUGGGUCAUUCAGUUGAUCCGUGCCGGAGCUAACGCGUUAAAUAUGCCGCCUGGGGAGUACAGUCGCAAGGCUGAAACUCAAAGGAAUUGACGGGGACCCGCACAAGCGGUGGAGCAUGUGGUUUAAUUCGAUGCAACGCGAAGAACCUUACCUGGUCUUGACAUCCUGGGAACCCUGAAGAGAUUUGGGGGUGCCGCAAGG
Molecule: ribosomal RNA, 412 nt
Filed under: uncultured bacterium
Lineage: Bacteria
Description: bacterial SSU rRNA
Rfam family: Bacterial small subunit ribosomal RNA
Source: RNAcentral